UGGGUAAUGCGUGACCAACCUGCCCCAUGCUCCAGAAUAGCUCUUGGAAACGGGUGGUAAUGCUGGAUGCUCCAACUUGACGCAUGUCUUGUUGGGAAAGUGUUUAGUGGCAUGGGAUGGGGUCGCGUCCUAUCAGCUUGUAGGCGGGGUAAUGGCCCACCUAGGCUUCGACGGGUAGCCGGCCUGAGAGGGCGGACGGCCACAUUGGGACUGAGAUACGGCCCAGACUCCUACGGGAGGCAGCAGCC
RNAcentral lists this ribosomal RNA (248 nucleotides) under uncultured Gardnerella sp. RNAcentral describes it as "partial 16S ribosomal RNA". It matches the Rfam family "Bacterial small subunit ribosomal RNA", at positions 107 to 355 of the family's 1533-position model. The record is from RNAcentral. Lineage: Bacteria; Bacillati; Actinomycetota; Actinomycetes; Bifidobacteriales; Bifidobacteriaceae.